Anguilla rostrata (American eel) is the source of this 5754-nucleotide long non-coding RNA. RefSeq lists it as uncharacterized. NCBI's taxonomy places the organism in Eukaryota, Metazoa, Chordata, Actinopteri, Anguilliformes, Anguillidae. The record is from RefSeq and is a predicted model, not a curated record. The transcript is spliced from 2 exons.
UGUGUAAUUAAGAAGAAUACUGCUAGCUGUACGUUUCUGUGUAAUUAAGAAGAAUACUGCUAGCUGUACGUUUCUGUGUAAUUAAGAAGAAUACUGCUAGCUGUACGUUUCUGUGUAAUUAAGAAGAAUACUGCUAGCUGUUGUUCCAUGUUAACUACAUUGGUGUUACUCUGUAAUAAGCCCUUGUUAUGAAAUUAGUUACAAUUUAACUACACAGGUAUAGCUGCAACUGAAUGUAAAGUGUGCCUAACAGUUUUAUCUUUUUGCUGGCAAUGGGGUUGACAUGCUUUUUUGCUCCAAAAUGACUAGUUUUUCCAAUGGCUAUGUAAGAAAAAAAAUCACCUCUAUUAGUAGCUAUACCUGUGCAACUUUAACAGAAUAUUAUAUAAACUGGGAUCAACAUAGAAAAUAUUAUUGGGCUUUUCUAAAUUGGGAUUAAAACAUGUUUCCAAGAACGACAUAAAAUGCAUCAAAUCAAAACAUAUUUUUUAAGGAACAACUGACAAGGCACUGGGAUUUCGAUACUAAGCUUGAUUGAGAUGCGUCAUCUAAAAAUUGGUAGCCUAGAAUGUCAAAACGCAUAUAACGAAAGCCCUAGUGACACUUACUGUAUCGUGACUAAGUGUCAGUCUGGUCGUCUGGACUAAAAUAAGCGAUGAAGGGAAACAGGAAGGCCCUGAGUGCCUCUUGGAAGCGAUAUUUCAUUAGUUCGGGCCUACAGCACGAGGCCAGGGUGGGGGAUUUAAACGCUACCGUCACUCUGAAACAGUCCCCAGCGGUAUUUAUGCUGACUGCGUUGAUCUCAGACUUCCUUGAAGGUGCAGAUCCUAUAAUCUGGCCGUGGCCUGCAUCUCUUCCUCAAUCCCCUUUAAGCUGGAUACUGUUACUGGGUCUCUGGACAGGAAUAGGGUCACAGAUUUCCAUGAGUGGGGUUAUAAAUAUCUCUGUCUGUCUGCAAUGUUCUUUGGAACCAUGCUGGAUGUUUCCACUGCAAACUUUAGAACAGAGAAAAUGCUUUGUGUACAUAAACAUUUUUGAACAAAAAGUAGUGAAAAAGUGAAAAUUUAGAACUUUUGGCAUGAUAUUUUAAGUUAAUAAUAAUAAGGACUUUUCUUUGCUAGUUCUGUGAAAGCUAUAAUAAUAUGCUAUUAGCUGAUAUUUUUCUUUCUUUUAUUUUCAUAUAAAAUACUUUUUAUUUCCUACUCAUCCAGCUCAACCUUAGCAGAGAAAAAAAUUAUUAUUAUUAUUAUUUGUUUAAAUUGAAAGGGCUCGGUAAUACUCCAACAAAAGACCUAUACUUGCUGCACACAUUAGUAAAUUAUAUCAAUAAAUAGACUGGCAUUUUCCAGGUCGCUCUCGUGCUGUUGUUAGCGUAUUGUGAGCUUGCGUCAGUAGUGCAACACGUUCCUUUAUUUCAGCAGGGUGCCCUAUAACAUUCUUUUGUUGUGUGUUUGACCAGCUGCAGCUUUCUUUCACUCUGCAGUCCGCCAGGUGAGCAGUCAAACACUGCGCAGCUGCAGCCGAAUCUGCAGCGCCUGUCCGGAGGAGUCACGGCUGCGCAGCCAGGGGACAGGCGUCGAUCUGGAGCUGAUCCAACUGCACGUGGAGAAGAGUGGUCAGUCUUAUGGAAAAGAGAAGAAUAAGAAAUAGUCAUUGGGCAGGUCAGAAUAUUUGUGAGCCAACCAGGAGAGAGAGAGGGGCCUGUGUGCAAUAUGGGAUAACCCCAGCAGAAUAAACCUAUGGCAGCAUAGCUAAAGGAGCAAAGGGACCAACACAGUCAUGCAGGCAGCCCUGACACAGUCUUACCACAGAGACUCUAUGCAUCUGUCCAGUGACAUCACUGACAGCUCAGUCUAACAGACUCUAUGCAUCUGUCCAGUGACAUCACUGACAGAUCAGUCUAACAGAGACUCUAUGCAUCUGUCCAGUGACAUCAUUGACAGCUCAGUCUAACAGAGACUCUAUGCAUCUGUCCAGUGACAUCACUGACAGCUCAGUCUAACAGACUCUAUGCAUCUGUCCAGUGACAUCACUGACAGAUCAGUCUGACAGACUCUAUGCAUCUGUCCAGUGACAUCACUGACAGCUCAGUCUAACAGACUCUAUGCAUCUGUCCAGUGACAUCACCGACAGCUCAGUCUAACAGACUCUAUGCAUCUGUCCAGUGACAUCACUGACAGCUCAGUCUGACAGACUCUAUGCAUCUGUCCAGUGACAUCACUGACAGCUCAGUCUAACAGACUCUAUGCAUCUGUCCAGUGACAUCAGUGACAGCUCAGUCUAACAGACUCUAUGCAUCUGUCCAGUGACAUCACUGACAGCUCAGUCUAACAGAGACUCUAUGCAUCUGUCCAGUGACAUCAUUGACAGCUCAGUCUAACAGAGACUCUAUGCAUCUGUCCAGUGACAUCACUGACAGCUCAGUCUAACAGAGACUCUAUGCAUCUGUCCAGUGACAUCACUGACAGCUCAGUCUGACAGACUCUAUGCAUCUGUCCAGUGACAUCACUGACAGCUCAGUCUGACAGACUCUAUGCAUCUGUCCAGUGACAUCACUGACAGCUCAGUCUAACAGAGACUCUAUGCAUCUGUCCAGUGACAUCACUGACAGCUCAGUCUAACAGAGACUCUAUGCAUCUGUCCAGUGACAUCACUGACAGCUCAGUCUAACAGACUCUAUGCAUCUGUCCAGUGACAUCACUGACAGCUCAGUCUGACAGACUCUAUGCAUCUGUCCAGUGACAUCACUGACAGCUCAGUCUAACAGACUCUAUGCAUCUGUCCAGUGACAUCACUGACAGCUCAGUCUAACAGACUCUAUGGCUUAUUUCAGCCACCUGGCUCUCUCAACUAUAAGGCUAUGGGCUCUAUUUUAACGAUCUAAGCGCACGGUCUAAAGUGCAUGGCGCAAGUGCAUUUAGGGCGUGUCCAUAUCCACUUUUGCUAGUUUAACGACACAGGUGAAAGGAGAUCAGUCAGGUACACAGGUGAAAGGAGAUCAGUGAGCUACACAGGUGAAAGGAGAUCAGUCAGCUACACAGGAUGAAAUUAGAUCAGUCAGGUACACAGGUGAAAGGAGAUCAGUCAGCUACAGAGGUGAAAGGAGAUCAGUCAGGUACACAGGUGAAAGGAGAUAAGUGAGGUACACAGGUGAAAGGAGAUCAGUCAGCUACACAGGUGAAAGGAGAUCAGUGAGCUACACAGGUGAAAGGAGAUCAGUGAGCUACAUAGGUGAAAGGAGAUCAGUCAGGUACACAGGUGAAAGGAGAUAAGUGAGGUACACAGGUGAAAGGAGAUCAGUCAGGUACACAGGUGAAAGGAGAUCAGUGAGCUACACAGGUGAAAGGAGAUCAGUCAGCUACACAGGUGAAAGGAGAUCAGUGAGCUACACAGGUGAAAGGAGAUCAGUGAGCUACACAGGUGAAAGGAGAUCAGUCAGGUACACAGGGGCUAGCGCAUAAUAGUGUAAACCGAUAAACAGACAACAUAAAGCCAUAAAUUAGAGCAAUCUGAAUUAGUGCAAUAGAGCAAUCUGAAGUAGUACAACAGAGCAAUCUAAAUUAACACAACAGAGCAAUAUGAGUGAGUAAAAUCUAAUAAUCUGAAUUAGUACAAUAGGGCCAUCUGUAUUAGUAUCCUCUUCCUCAACUGCAUCCUCUACUUCACCUGUACUUCUACUUCACCUACAUCCUCCUCAUCACCUAUACCCUUCCUCAUCUGCUUCCUCUACCUCAACUGCAUCCUCUACUUCACCUGCAUCCUCUUCCUCACCUGCAUACACUUCUGCACCUGUAUCUUCCUCAUCAUCUGCAUCUUCAACCUCACCUGCAUCCACUCCCUCACUUGCAUCCUUUAUCUCACCUGCAUCCCCUACCUCACCUCAUCCUCCUCAUCACCUGCAUCCUUUUCCUCACCUACAUCCUCUUCCUCACCUCAUCCUCCUCAUCGCCUGCAUACUUUUCCUUACCUGCAUCCUUUUCCUCACCUACAUCCUCUUCCUCACCUGUAUACUCUUCUGCACCUGUAUCUUCCUCAUCAUCUGCAUCCCUUACCUCACCUGCAUCCACUCUCUCACUUGCAUCCUUUAUCUCACCUGCAUCCCCUACCUCACCUCAUCCUCUUCAUCACCUGCAUCCUUUUCCUCACCUACAUCCUCUUCCUCACCUGCAUAAUUUUCCUCAACUAUAUCCCCUACCUCACCUGCAUCCUCCUCAUCACCUGAAUCCUUUUCCUCACCUGCAUCCUCUUCCUCACCUGCAUCCUCGUCCUCACCUACUACCUCUUCCUCGCCUGCAUCCUCUACCUCACCUGCAUCCUCUUUCUCACCUACAUCCUCUAUUUUACCCACAUCCUCUACCUCACCUACAUCAUCGUCCUCACCUGCAUCCUCUACCUCACCUAAAUCCCCUACCUCACCUGCAUCCUCCUCAUCACCUGCAUCCUCUUCCUCACCUCUGUCUGUCUGUCAGUCCGGAUUAAUGUUAUAGGCAUAGAUUGUGUAAAGAUAAGUUCCCUGUCCAUAUAAUUUGUUGGUAUGUUACGUUAAGAUUACACUUAUUGAUUAUUAACUGGGCCUUCUGUGCCUUCAUGUAGAUACCACAUGCUUGCAUUCUGCCGAUGAACACUGAUGUUCUCCACUUCUACAAAUCGCUCUAGAUAAGAGUGCCUGCUGAGGGACUGUUAUGUAAUGUGUAUAAAUGUGGAGACAUUGAGGGUACACACUGUAAGGCAGAAGUAGAUGAGCUAUGAUGUAAUGUGUAUAAAUGUGGAGACAUUGAGGGUACGCACUGUAAGGCAGAAGUAGAUGAGCUAUGAUAUAAUGUGUAUAAAUGUGAAGACAUUGAGGGUACGCACUGUAAGGCAGAAGUAGAUGAGCUAUGAUGUAAUGUGCAUAAAUUUGGAGACUUCGAGGGUACGCACUGUAAGGCAGAAGUAGAUGAGCUAUGAUGUAAUGUGUAUAAAUGUGGAGACAUUGAGGGUACGCACUGUAAGGCAGAAGUAGAUGAGCUAUGAUGUAAUGUGUAUAAAUGUGGAGACAUUGAGGGUACGCACUGUAAGGCAGAAGUAGAUGAGCUAUGAUGUAAUGUGCAUAAAUUUGGAGACUUCGAGGGUACGCACUGUAAGGCAGAAGUAGAUGAGCUAUGAUGUAAUGUGUAUAAAUGUGGAGACAUUGAGGGUACGCACUGUAAGGCAGAAGUAGAUGAGCUAUGAUGUAAUGUGCAUAAAUGUGGAGACUUCGAGGGUAUGCACUGUAAGGCAGAAGUAGAUGAGCUAUGAUGUAAAGUGCAUAAAUGUGGAGACUUCGAGGGUAUGCACUGUAAGGCAGAAGUAGAUGAGCUGUGAUGUAAUGUGUAUAAAUGUGGAGACAUUUCAACAUAGACGUGCCUACUGUAUGUUGUUAUAUUCAGCUGUCAACAUUCAAUAUUUAUGUCCAUAGUCCUCCUCUUCUUUCCUUUUUUUUGAAAAUGUGUGUAAUGUGAGGCUGUUUGCCAGUGGGAUUUCAAUAGUUGCAGUUUGAACCAUUGAGCAGCAACAAAUUAGACGUUUAUAAACUAAACCAGUGAAAAUAAAACUCUAUCGUAAUGGGACUUGGGCUUCUGCUUUUGCAGGCAGUUCAUUUACAAUGUUACAAUGUGUUAUAAUGUCUUGCAGCUACUGGCUUUGGGAAGACUACCAAUAGUUUAUCUUCACACAGAUAAAUAUGGAAUUAACCAUAAAAUGUUAAUAAAUUCAAAUGGCCAAUGUGUGACAGAA